GUCUACAGCCCUACCACCUUGAACUUGCCUGAUCUUGUCUGAUCUCGGAAGCUAAGCAGGUUCAGGGCUGGUUAGUACUUGGAUGGGAGAUUAUGAAGGCAAAGACGCUCACCGUGAAGU
Molecule: ribosomal RNA, 120 nt
Filed under: Jaculus jaculus (lesser Egyptian jerboa)
Lineage: Eukaryota; Metazoa; Chordata; Mammalia; Rodentia; Dipodidae
Source: RNAcentral